Molecule: long non-coding RNA, 2004 nt
Organism: Leopardus geoffroyi (Geoffroy's cat)
Lineage: Eukaryota; Metazoa; Chordata; Mammalia; Carnivora; Felidae
Exons: 2
Source: RefSeq, a predicted model, not a curated record
AGGCGCCCCCGGAAAUUUUCAAACAUACACAAAUAUGUAACCAUCAUGCAGCCUUGACACUUAACUAUACACGCCCAAUCUUGUUUCAUCUGUUCCACUCUGCUACCCCUGGAUUACUGCGAAAAAACAAUCCUAGAUAUUUCACUUGCAAAUGUUUCUGUCCGGUCUACAGUAUCUCUUUAUAACUAUUCAGGAUGAUCUCUUAAACAUGAAAAAAAACAAUUUUGUGACUCAUACUUGCUUGAAAUCCUUCAACGACUUAUCUUGGCCAUCCUUCACAUGGCCUCCAGUGUCCUUCACACACAGCAUCAUCUCCUACAACCCCAAUAGCCCUACCCCUUUGCUCACUACAGUCCGGCCCCACUGCCAGACAGGUACUCAAAUGGAUUCUAUCUCAAGAUCUUUGUGUACUUCUUGAACCUGACUAGCUUCUCUUCAGCCUUUGGUUUCAGCUUAAAUGUCAUUUCCUCAGGAUGGCCGCCCUCGAUGACCUAGAUUGGGUUACAUCAACCUGCUGUAUCUUCUCAAAGCACCUUAGACUUUAAAAAAAAAUCAAAUUGUUAAGUAUACCGUUAUUUGUAUAAUUUCUUUUGCGAACAUCUUUUUUCCUUCCUAUUCCUGCUGGACUUAAAUUCCUUGAGGGCAAGGACGAUGUCUGUCAUGGUCCUCCCUGCACCUCCAGCCCCUUGUGUAGUACCUGAACACAGCAGAACCAUGGCUGCUAUGCAUAUAUGCAUGGAUACAUGCCUGUUAAAAGAAUAAGUGAAUCAGUAUCUGUGUGGCUAUUUACAUCCCCCAUAGGUGUCUUUGGUUUGGACAGAAACUCCUGGAAAAACACAAUACAGUUCUCUCUGGAAUAAAAAUUCAACCCAGCCUCAUGUACAACUUAGCACUUAAUGACCUUGGUGAUGUUGGUGGAUCUUGAUCAAGGAGAGAGGGUGAUGAUAACGACACCUCUCAGUAUGCUAUGAAAUUACUACUCAUAACUCGGCAAUACUGAGAACUUAACUCCCAUAUCGUGCGUGCCACUUCGAAAGUGCUUUCAUGUGUACUCCCUCAUUUGAAGUGGGUACCAGUGGUGUCAUCAUCCCUGCUUUGCAGAGGGAGACUGAAGAGCCGUGGCAGAAGGGGAAUGAGGCUGCAUGCCUCUCAGACUAGUGCGUGUUUCUUCCACUCUAUCGUGUGAAGUCGGUUCACCUCUCUGGGUCUCGGCUUCAUCUGCCAAUGAGGGAUUUAGACAAACUGCUUUUUAAAGAUUUUUUCAUCUCAGCAAUUCUGUGUGUAUGUUUCUAAUAGUCACCAUGCUCUAAAAAUUAAGGGUAAUGACAAGUGAUUGCAGUCCAAAACUUAGCUUGGAGGACCUCCUGACAGUUUUUAGGACCACGCAAGACACCAGCCAAUGGAGUCAACGUUCAACAUUAGGAACUCUUGAUGUCACCAAGUUCCCAGAAUUAUAGGCGGUCACAAAAUCCUGGAAAAGGGCUUGAAGUCAAUAUUUUUAAAGACAGCAAUGUGCCUUAUCUAGAACUGGAAUUGCACAACGGAAUAAAGGCUUGUUCAGAGUCCUUAAAAAUGUCUCAGCUUAUCACACUUCUAACAUAGAUGGACUCCCCAAGCCCUCCGUUAUCUGGCAGAGGACCAUUUGUUCCCACUGAGCCAGUCAAAACCACUCAAAAGUUACUGCAGACAACAGUUUGUGAAUACAUCACAUCGUAAAACCAUUGGCCUAUUCGCCACAAGUAAAACUAGUAGAUUUGGAUGUUUAUACAACCUGAAGUCAUCCCUUCCUAACCUCCUCACUGAAUCCUCUUCCACUGUCACCCCUGGAACCCUGGUGGGCCCUAAGCCCCAUCCUCCAACCUCCUUUUAUUCUUCAGCCUGUACCCUAGUCAUGUUUGUGCCCGUGUUCUUACUGGUCUGGGUUUUUCUUUUAUUUUUUAAAAAACCUGUGGUAUAAUACACAGAACAUGAUAUUUACCUUCUGAACCACUUUUAAGUGUGUAG